AACGAACGCUGGCGGCAGGCCUAACACAUGCAAGUCGAACGCCGUAGCAAUACGGAGUGGCAGACGGGUGAGUAACACGUGGGAACAUACCCUUCGGUUCGGAAUAACUCAGGGAAACUUGAGCUAAUACCGGAUACGUCCGCGAGGAGAAAGAUUCAUCGCCGGAGGAUUGGCCCGCGUCUGAUUAGCUUGUUGGUGAGGUAACGGCUCACCAAGGCGACGAUCAGUAGCGGUCUGAGAGGAUGAUCAGCCACACUGGGACUGAGACACGGCCCAGACUCCUACGGGAGGCAGCAGUGGGGAAUAUUGGACAAUGGGCGCAAGCCUGAUCCAGCAAUGCCGCGUGAGUGAGGAAGGCCUUAGGGUUGUAAAGCUC
Molecule: ribosomal RNA, 376 nt
Filed under: uncultured bacterium
Lineage: Bacteria
Description: bacterial SSU rRNA
Rfam family: Bacterial small subunit ribosomal RNA
Source: RNAcentral